Molecule: ribosomal RNA, 217 nt
Filed under: uncultured bacterium
Lineage: Bacteria
Description: partial 16S ribosomal RNA
Rfam family: Bacterial small subunit ribosomal RNA
Source: RNAcentral
UGGGAACGUGCCCAAAGGUACGGAACAACUCCGGGGAACUGGAGCUAAUACCGUAUGUGCCCGAAAGGGGAAAGAUUCAUCGCCUUUGGAUCGGCCCGCGUCUGAUUAGCUAGUUGGCGGGUAAUGGCCCACCAAGGCGACGAUCAGUAGCUGGUCUGAGAGGAUGACCAGCCACACUGGGACUGAGACACCGGCCCAGACUCCGUACGGGAGGCAG